UGUUUAUUCUUCUAAACUAUUUCCCAAGGA
This 30-nucleotide non-coding RNA is filed under the name Rattus norvegicus (Norway rat). Lineage: Eukaryota; Metazoa; Chordata; Mammalia; Rodentia; Muridae. The record is from RNAcentral.